This 434-nucleotide ribosomal RNA is filed under the name uncultured Lachnospiraceae bacterium. Its description in RNAcentral is "partial 16S ribosomal RNA". It matches the Rfam family "Bacterial small subunit ribosomal RNA", at positions 341 to 792 of the family's 1533-position model. Lineage: Bacteria; Bacillati; Bacillota; Clostridia; Lachnospirales; Lachnospiraceae. The record is from RNAcentral.
ACGGAAGGCAGCAGUGGGGAAUAUUGCACAAUGGGGGAAACCCUGAUGCAGCGACGCCGCGUGAGUGAAGAAGUAUUUCGGUAUGUAAAGCUCUAUCAGCAGGAAAGAAAAUGACGGUACCUGACUAAGAAGCCCCGGCUAACUACGUGCCAGCAGCCGCGGUAAUACGUAGGGGGCAAGCGUUAUCCGGAUUUACUGGGUGUAAAGGGAGCGUAGACGGCUUUGCAAGUCUGAAGUGAAAGCCCGGGGCUCAACCCCGGAACUGCUUUGGAAACUGUAGAGCUAGAGUGCAGGAGAGGUAAGUGGAAUUCCUAGUGUAGCGGUGAAAUGCGUAGAUAUUAGGAGGAACACCAGUGGCGAAGGCGGCUUACUGGACUGUAACUGACGUUGAGGCUCGAAGGCGUGGGGAGUAAACAGGAUUAGAUACCCUGGUA